RNAcentral lists this long non-coding RNA (207 nucleotides) under Salvia miltiorrhiza (redroot sage). Its description in RNAcentral is "long non-coding RNA (SMIL_LNC002900)". Lineage: Eukaryota; Viridiplantae; Streptophyta; Magnoliopsida; Lamiales; Lamiaceae. The record is from RNAcentral.
UUUUUUUUGUUAUAAAUUGAAAAGUGAUGUUAUAUUUUUAUUGCAAUUGUCGAAAAUUGAAAACAAAUAAGAUUUGAAUUUUUAUUUAUUUUUGGGCAAUUUAACGACUCUAAUGAGAAAUGAUUUUUUUUUUAACCAAGAAAAGGAUUUGUUGAUAUGAUAAAUAAGGACAUACAGUGUUCAUGAAAUUUAACUUGUGUACUAUAU